This 280-nucleotide long non-coding RNA is filed under the name Elaeis guineensis (African oil palm). RNAcentral's name for it is "long non-coding RNA (EGUI_LNC062155)". The record is from RNAcentral. Lineage: Eukaryota; Viridiplantae; Streptophyta; Magnoliopsida; Arecales; Arecaceae.
AUCAUCAUGGUACUUUAAGUAUGUGGAUCCAUGCUUUGGUUCAUUUCCUAGCAUGAUUCUUUGAGAUAUGUGUAGGAUGUUCUGGGUGUGGUGAAGUAUGCAUGGAGGUUGUGAGUGAUCAACAAGAAAUCAGUCACUCCUUAUAAGAGGAGAGAACAUCCUAUGUGAUCUCAUAGGAUGAUGACUCAGAGAGUCUCUAGCCAGAGCAGGGAUAAACAUUAGAAAGAGUUUCAUUGGUUCAUCAAUCAAGUUAUUAUCAUCAAAUAGAGAUACAUAUGAA